ACAAAACACUUACUAUGAAAAUCGUAACAAUUAUUUAUUUUAUAAUAUAAUAGAUGUAAAUAACAAUGAUUCGAAAAGUAUUAACGUAACUGAGUCAUUAGACUUUUUUAAAAAUUUAUUUCUUUUUUAUCCUCCUUUUGAAAUUACAAAACAUAUAAGAUAUAUAAACGAAUUUAUUUUGAAUAAUAUACGAAAUUUAAUUAUUCCUAAUGUUAAGCCAUUUCGAAAUAAUAUUGUUAUAACACUGUUGUCUAAUUUUAAAGCUGAUCAUAAUAUAUUGAAAAAGAUCUUAAUUAAUUUAGAAGGGGUAUUAAAAUGUAUAAACAAUUAUCAUUUUUCAUUUUUAAUAUCUAUAUUUCAUGUGUUAAAUCAUCAAAAUUCGUUUAAAUUAAAUAUAAUAAAAUUUUAUGAAUUGUUAAUAAACAUUCAGAAAAUUUUAAGAACUAAUUUGAAUUUAUCUACAUCUAAUUUUACCUAUACAUCUGAUUUAAAUUUAUUUAAUGAUUUCGUUUAUUAUCAUGAAAAUGAUACACAUAACAUUAUUAACGAUAAUAUAUUAACUGAAUACAAUAAGGAUAUAGAAAAAAAAAGAAAUGAACUUUUACAAGCUGUUUUAGUACAUUAUGGAGAGUAUGACGAAAAAAAAAAAAUGUAUGACAUAGAGUUAUUAAAUAAAAUAUUAAAAAUUGAUAAUGCUAAUGAUAUUAUAGGAAUAAAAAAAAAAACGUACAUAACAUACAGACAUAUAGAGGCAACUAUCGAAAUGGUAACUCCUAAUCCAUCUAGUGAAAUGCCAAAUGAUGGUAUGUUAUUUAACCCAGUCGACCAAAAUGAACAAAGUUUUCAUUUUUUUCAUCCAUUAAAUAAAAAAUCAGAUACUAUAAAAAACGUUUUUGUAACAGCAGAAGUGCAGCAACAUAUUAGAGAUUAUCUUUUAGCAAUUGAUAGAAAAAAAAAAAAAAUUAAUGAAAUAAUAAAAAACAUUAAUAUGCAGUUAUCUUCGUCUGUUCAUAUACUUUCCUUUGUAUCCAACUUCUUGCAGAUAAUUCAGGCCUUGUACAACCAUACCAUCAAUAGCAUAAAACGCAAUUGGCAACUACCCAUCUGUAAACACUUAAUGGUAACAUACGAACAGAAAACAUUUCACGAAAUUAAUGAAAAGCUUUUAUAUAUGCAGAAAUGUUUAUACAACGAAGAGGGCACUGUUGUGACUAAGAAUUAUGUAAAGAAGGAAAAUGAAGAUAUGAAAAAUAAAAAUAAUAUGAAAAAUAAUUUAUCAAGUGAUAAAAUUAAAUCUGAUUACAUAAAUUUAGAAAAAGAAGAAACAAAAAAUAUACUUAAAAGCGUUGAUACUGAAUUAGUAGAAGAAGUAAAAAAAAUAUACACUCAACGAAAUUAUGUUAAUGAUAGUAUUACAUAUAUUACUGGAGCAAGACCAUAUAAUAUAACUAAAAAAAAUGUUAUAAAAUAUGACGUGUUUUUAAAAAAGAAUAAUUUCAUUUUACUUACUGGGGAAAAUAUGAGUGGAAAAACGACAUUAUCUUUUACUAUAUUAUGUAUACUUUUUUUGGCCAACUUGGGUAUGUUUUUAUUACAUGCCUGCAUGUGUUCAUGUUUUACAUUUGUAACACCCGUCCGUGCACGAUUUGUCUAUCUCUAGCUAUCCAUCUAUCUAUAUAUAUAUCUAUCUAUCUAUCUAUCUAUCUCUUUUUUUUUUUUUCUUUUUUUUGAUUUUAUUUCAUACGUUAUCAGGUAUGUACGCACCAUGCAACAAAACAAGUAUCAUAUCAAAAUUUAGAGAAUUUUAUAGCUUGAAGAAUGUAAAUUAUAAAGAACAAAUUGAAAAUAUGUCGUUAUUUAGAGAACAAACUUAUUAUAUAAAUUCGAUAAUAGAAGAAAUAAAAGGACAUUAUUUAAUUGAUAAGAAGCCUUA
This 1933-nucleotide long non-coding RNA is filed under the name Piliocolobus tephrosceles (Ugandan red Colobus). RNAcentral describes it as "lncRNA (ENSPTEG00000012882.1)". Lineage: Eukaryota; Metazoa; Chordata; Mammalia; Primates; Cercopithecidae. The record is from RNAcentral.